RNAcentral lists this ribosomal RNA (459 nucleotides) under uncultured bacterium. RNAcentral describes it as "partial 16S ribosomal RNA". It matches the Rfam family "Bacterial small subunit ribosomal RNA", at positions 338 to 795 of the family's 1533-position model. The record is from RNAcentral.
CCUACGGGUGUCAGCAGUGAGGAAUAUUGGUCAAUGGACGCAAGUCUGAACCAGCCAUGCCGCGUGCAGGAAGACGGCUCUAUGAGUUGUAAACUGCUUUUGUACGAGGGUAAACGCAGAUACGCGUAUCUGUCUGACAGUAUCGUACGAAUAAGGAUCGGCUAACUCCGUGCCAGCAGCCGCGGUAAUACGGAGGAUUCAAGCGUUAUCCGGAUUUAUUGGGUUUAAAGGGUGCGCAGGGGGAUUUUUAAGUCAGCGGUCAAAUCGUGGGGCUCAACCCCAUCCAGCCGUUGAAACUGGGGAUCUAGAGUGUUCGAGAGGUAUGCGGAAUGCGUGGUGUAGCGGUGAAAUGCAUAGAUAUCACGCAGAACCCCGAUUGCGAAGGCAGCAUACCGGUGCACAACUGACGCUCAGGCACGAAAGCGUGGGUAUCGAACAGGAUUAGAUACCCCUGUAGUC